AACGAACGCUGGCGGCAGGCCUAACACAUGCAAGUCGAACGCCCUGGCAACAGGGAGUGGCAGACGGGUGCGUAACGCGUGGGAACAUGCCCUUUGGUUCGGAAUAACUCAGGGAAACUUGAGCUAAUACCGGAUAAGCCCGAGAGGGGAAAGAUUUAUCGCCGAAGGAUUGGCCCGCGUCUGAUUAGCUAGUUGGUGAGGUAAUGGCUCACCAAGGCGACGAUCAGUAGCUGGUCUGAGAGGAUGAUCAGCCACACUGGGACUGAGACACGGCCCAGACUCCUACGGGAGGCAGCAGUGGGGAAUAUUGGACAAUGGGCGCAAGCCUGAUCCAGCCAUGCCGCGUGAGUGAUGAAGGCCUUAGGGUUGUAAAGCUCUUUUACCCGGGAAGAUAAUGACGGUACCGGGAGAAUAAGCCCCGGCUAACUUCGUG
RNAcentral lists this ribosomal RNA (433 nucleotides) under uncultured bacterium. RNAcentral describes it as "bacterial SSU rRNA". It matches the Rfam family "Bacterial small subunit ribosomal RNA", at positions 29 to 507 of the family's 1533-position model. The record is from RNAcentral.